GCUCAGAUAGCUCACAGUUAGAGCGUAGCACUGAAGAUGCUAAGGUGGCGAAUUUCGCCUCAGAGCA
Molecule: transfer RNA, 67 nt
Filed under: Purpuradusta gracilis
Lineage: Eukaryota; Metazoa; Mollusca; Gastropoda; Littorinimorpha; Cypraeidae
Description: tRNA-Phe
Rfam family: tRNA
About the family: Transfer RNA (tRNA) molecules are approximately 80 nucleotides in length.
Source: RNAcentral